UUUGUCUCUUUUUGCAGAGCCAAAAGCGCAGAUGAAGUAAUAAAUGGUGAUGACAAUGGACACUACAGAGUGUGAUCCAGUUUCCAGGAUAAACUGGGCUCGUUCAACUAACAUGCCUUCUGAAGUAGCCAAAUGCAAGCUCAUAUACUUUAGUUCUAGAAGAGUAAGAAGUGGCCGAACUCAAUGAAGGAGCAGAGUGGAGAAGCAGCAUGUGCUUCCAUGGUAGCACUACUACCAAUGAAAGCAGAUGUGUUCCAAUGGGGAUAGCAGACAAAACAAACAAACAAACAAACAAACAAAAAAACAAAGGGAGGGAAAUUAUGAUAUUUGUUGCAUUAGAUUCACUGCUCUAAGUGAAAGACAAAUGAGUCAAGAGAUCGAACUAAACCAUUUGGUUUAAAUGUUGUUUAUUGGAGAGUGAGCUUGCAUAGGUCUGCUCCUGCUGUAUAUGGGAAGGAUGCGUACAGUAAAACUCCACCAAAGAAUCCAGGGCAUGGGCAUUCUGCAUCCCCAGAAAAAGGCCUACAAAAAAGAGUAGAGAAAAAACAUGGUGGUGAAGCAGUGCCGCCCUUUCUAGAGCCUCCACUGCUCUACUGAGACAGCUCUAUUGAAUCUCCUCCUGUAUCUCCCCCAGAAAUGGUCCCAUCUCCUGUGAGGUGAACUGUAUCUGCUCCCAUUGACACUCCUUCAGCAUCCUCUGCUGGGAGACCAGACACACCCAGUGUUGGGAGCUGGAAGGGUGUCUUCCAGCUGGCUGCUGGGCAGGUCCAGGGAAAGACAGAAAGAAAGGAUGAGAAGGUUCUAGCAGGCAACAGCUUGAAGGUACUGAUAUUUGCCUGCUAGGAUAACAUCAACAAUGGUUAUCAAAGCCACGAUAUUUACAGCAUGCAGUUUCCUGUGAAGGUAUAUGAGCAUCACCUUGACAGAGAAGAACUGGAAACAUCGUAACAACACAGGGCUGUAUGAAAAAACAUGACACAUUUUUCCCUCCUGAUCCCUAAAUGUGGCUUCACAAGUCCCUUCAGUGAAGGACUAAAUACUUCACUCAGCCUAUGACCACAGAUUGUCUGACUAAAAUUGCAUUAGGGAAACUGGGAUAACAGAAGAGGACUGGAUACAGAGACACUGCUCCAUAGCAAAGGCUCUGGAAUAAAUUUUCCUUUGCAUAUCUUGAACAUGCAUGCAGUGAGUAUUGCUUCUGAACCACAGCACCCUUUCCCACCUACACAUAAACUGUGGCUUUGCAGUUGAAAAUACUUGUUGAAGUACAAAUAUUUGUUGACAGGCCUACAAAGAGCCCACUGAGCUGCCUUUCCUUCUUGUUCCCUGUCAUGCUUAAAAAUGCUAAAAUUGUAGAGGAGUUUCUCACUUGAGUUUACUGUCAUUUAUGCAAGUCAAAAAGAGGCAAGUAUUUCCCACUCCAAAAAGGGAGACACUAGAAAACAUACGUAUGUAAGACAGUAAUGCUGUUGCUUUGACAUAGGAUAUUCCGUUUCAGUGUGCUUCCUGACAGGAUGACUCUUCCUCUAUUUACCUGCUUUUAAUGAAGCAAUUACAUGAGAAAGUAAUCUCCAACAAUGGUAUUAUUCAGCACAGCCUUCUAAAACAUCAAUGUCUUAACCUUUACUAAAGCGAGUCAUAAAAUUAAGUAAUUGAGUAAGAUCAAUUAGACACAUACUGCCAGGUGACAGCAUGUGUUGCCAUUACACUGGUUUUAUAAUAACUGUGUAAUCUCUAAUAUGCCCUUGUACCUUGAAGAACUGUAGAGUUACCCUAGGGAAAAUCCUGCUACAUAUAUUUUAAUUGUUAGCAUCUUAAGAGAAAGGAUAAAAUCUUUUUGUUAACUCAUGAAAUUACUUAACUUCCAUGCUUCUUUCAUGAAGGAGUAGCAAUGAAAAAAAGCAGUACCUGAAAUUUAUUUUUGGUUGUCAGCAUAUAGAAAAAUAAUCUACUGAAAUCCAAAUAAAUUUAUAAACCUUCCUUAGUACUUUUUCUCAGUUCCUUUUGUCUGAUGCAGGCUGUAUCUGGGGCUUCCAUAUAGAACCACCAAGCCUCCCACCUCAGCCACAAGGACUUCCUAUCAAUUUUAAUCUUUCUACCCUGAAACCAUUACCAUGCCCUGUUCAUCUAAUUGCAGAUUUGGAUCCAAUGUCUUUUUCCUGGCAGUACUGCCCAGGUACAGCUUUGUGCAUUGUUUUUUUUUUCAUGUUGUUGUUCUUUCCCUUGGUGUUUCUUUGUAAACUGGCAAUCCAUGCCAAUUUAGCUUCCUAUGUUGCCUCCUAUUGUUUUAUUUACAUAGUAUUGCCUGAUCAGUAACAAUCACUGCUUUCUUGAUCAACUUGAAGAAUAAAUGAUUCGUAACAAAUCACUUGGUUUUCUUUCAGACUUCACCUUGUCAUAUCUAGUACAAAAAAACAAGAAAUGGAAGAAAGAGAUUAUAUCCUGUGGUCAUGGUUUUCCAGUUUAGGAGCCAGCACUAUCAGACUCCAUCUAACAUACUUUUCCUUCCUCUGUUUCCUUUCUUUCCCAAACAGAAAAACAAUAAUUAUCUGUUCAGUUCUAGUUCCUAACAGUGUAGAUGACUCUCUUGUAGGCACUGUGCUAUCUGGAAGCUGCUGAAAGAGGAUAUUGACUUUCUCCCUGCCUUCCAUCUCUUCCAAAGCUGAGAACUACAUCCCUACGAAUACCAGAGACAAAAUAAUCCAAAUCAGAAUUAAUUCCUUUAUGCUUCAGAUGAGAGUGCAUCUCCAGAACUCCAAUAGUAUAGCAGAAUAUAAGUAAUAUUUCCUUCAUUCAGCAGGAAGAUUUGUGGGGAAAAGAUAAAUAUUAAUAAACAGAGUUACACAUACUCUGCCCCUCUGUCGUCAGAUUUUUGGCUGAGCAAACAGCAGCAGUGCUUUCAGUGCAGGCAGCAGUAAAUGACUGAAGUUAACCCCAGGAUGGAAGGCAUAGUUAUGUCUAUAUCUGCAAUUAGUGCAGCCUGGGAGUGAAUUUUGUAGACUGGAUCAGCUGAUGCUUUUUGGCUUGUGGACUGAGUGAACACAAUGACUGCACCCAUAGCAAGCACUUUAUAGUUCAGUUACAUCUAAAAUCAUUCCUUCACAUGAACCCAAAGCAUGCAUGCUUCUCAUCCAAACCAAAACAGUGACAAAGUUAUAUCCUCUGUGUUGUCCCUGCAUGCCCAUUUCAUGCCAAGUAAGGUUUCAUCAGCUUCCUGGUGUUUCUGCAGAUGGCUGAGGUCACUCACAGCCUAGGUUUCCUUUGCAAAGCCUGGUCCAAGCUCCUGCCCUGAGCCACUGCUUUCUUCUAUUGGUGCAACUCUGUUCAAGCAGUAAGCUGGAAUGCUUUUUAAUAACAGGGUUAAUUCUCAGAUGCCUCAGUUCUUUUCUCCAGCCAAUGUUACACUGUACAUCCACUUGAGAAGCAGAGCCAGAUUCAUGGAGGUAAAAAGAAGACAGCAGUUUUGUUUUGCUUUCUUAAAUCAGUAAUGAGGCUUAAGUUGGCUUGAAUUCCUUUGUGAAUCUGCUCCUUAAGUAGAUAUGCACAUGGUGGCUCCUAAGAUAAAUAGGAAUGCCCUGUAGUUACUGUUAUUGUUGAUUUGAUUCAGCUACAACUAGGGUUGAAAGAAUUAUUAAACAGGGUAUAGCUCAAAGGUUUUACAUGCUAUUUGGACUGUUUCAGGCUUUCCUUAAACUCUCCAGACACACAAAAUGCAGGCAACAUGGAACUUAGAAGAACUUUGUCCAACAGAAACAGGAUCGUGCCCUUAAUCUGAAAAACUUCCAUGUUCCUCUUUCUCUUUUCUCAUUAUUUUUUCCUCAAAAGUAAUGAUUUACACUCACAAGGAGUCUAAACAGAGUGCUUUCAAGGAAUGGUGCGAACUCAAAUAACAAAAUGGUGACUUGAAAAAUACUAUUUGUCCCAUCUUUUUGCAUACAAUAAGAGGCUGUCUUUUGUUGUUUUGUUUUUUGUUUGAUUGUUUUAAUUUGUAUUUCUUUCUCCUCAGUUGGCCUGAGGUGUGAUAGAUGAAUUGCAUCUGCCUGACUGUUAGGACUAUUAAAUAGGACUAGUAAUCUUGAGAUGAUCUUUCUAUGGCUGUUCAAUUGCUUGCAGUGUAUUAAGAUACAUUUUGCAGUCAAAAAUUUCACCAUUGCUUUAAAUAUAGAUUUUUAUUUAUUUUUUUAAAUGAUGAGGAAAAGUUUGUUUAAUCUGUCUGCAUGGUUUGGUCCAUUUUACUGAUUAAUUGAUUCGUAAUGUUGUGAAAAGUAAUCUGUUUGUGGACAGACAGGAGAUUCUUAUCAUACAAAACACAGGAAAUCUCAAAUUGAUUUUAUCCCCAGGAGUAAUAUCUGGUGAACAAUAGAAAACUGCUGGUAUUGUUCUGAGGCAUUUAUUUUUACUGUAGGAUUUUGCACUACACAGAGCUUUAUUUACAUAACUAAAUACCUAGGAAAAAUACCCCUUGUGAUCCAGGAAAUAGUUGAUUAUUAAGUGAGAAUCUACUGUUUGAAUCAUUUUCGUCUUCUCCUCAUGCCUCCAACAGUACUUACUUAAAUACGCAGAAAAGGAGAACUAGAAAAUCUGAUUCAAUAAAACAAUAGUGACAUGCUAUUCCCUUUUCAGAGAAAGAUUUCUGUUAAGAAACCUUUGCAAGUUCCUCUGUAUUAAGCACAUUGCUGUCUUACUCAGGAUAUUAAAGUUUAACUGAAUAGCAAAAAUUUGUUUGUUCAGCAUCUCAAAUCUUUUAACAAAGCUCACACAAAAAGCAUGAAAAUUUUCAGCUUCCCUGUGGACUGGAGUAGCAACAACGUAUAUGCUAGAAAUACAGUAUCUGUUCUUAAACCACAAUCAAAACCGACUAUAGUAAAAGCUACAGCACGUAGCUCAAGGAAAUCAUUUCUUCUGCUGUCUGUCAGUACUAGACACAGUGUGUCAAACUUAAUUUUUGUCCCUGUGUGACUUGCACAAAUCCAGGAUCUUGUAUAUGUGUGUUGAUACCUCUCUAAAGAGAAAGUGAGGCUGCAGUGCUGUUUCUGAAAUUCAUCCCCACUGAGAUGCAUCAAUAGAACUGUUACUUCUCCCACAGUGGGCAGUAGGCUUGUUGAUGGUGGUUGCUCCUGACUGGCUGAGGUUUGUAGUUCUUCUUUGUCUUGAAGUAAAAAAACAAAACAAAACAAAACAAAACAAAGGAAAAACAAAACAAACCCCAACCAGAC
This 5216-nucleotide long non-coding RNA is filed under the name Gallus gallus (chicken). Its description in RNAcentral is "lncRNA (ENSGALG00010005744.1)". Lineage: Eukaryota; Metazoa; Chordata; Aves; Galliformes; Phasianidae. The record is from RNAcentral.